Molecule: ribosomal RNA, 254 nt
Filed under: uncultured bacterium
Lineage: Bacteria
Description: partial 16S ribosomal RNA
Rfam family: Bacterial small subunit ribosomal RNA
Source: RNAcentral
CACGUAGGGGGCAAGCGUUGUCCGGAUUUAUUGGGCGUAAAGAGCUCGUAGGCGGCUCUGUAAGUCGGGUGUGAAACCUCCAGGCUCAACCUGGAGACGCCACCCGAUACUGCUGUGGCUAGAGUCCGGUAGGGGAGCGUGGAAUUCCUGGUGUAGCGGUGAAAUGCGCAGAUAUCAGGAGGAACACCAGCGGCGAAGGCGGCGCUCUGGCCCGGAACUGACGCUGAGGAGCGAAAGUGUGGGGAGCGAACAGG